UGGGGAAUAUUGCACAAUGGGCGCAAGCCUGAUGCAGCCAUGCCGCGUGUAUGAAGAAGGCCUUCGGGUUGUAAAGUACUUUCAGCGGGGAGGAAGGGAGUAAAGUUAAUACCUUUGCUCAUUGACGUUACCCGCAGAAGAAGCACCGGCUUACUCCGUGCCAGCAGCCGCGGUAAUACGGAGGGUGCAAGCGUUAAUCGGAAUUACUGGGCGUAAAGCGCACGCAGGCGGUGUGUUAAGUCAGAUGUGAAAUCCUCGGGCUCAACCUGGGAACUGCAUCUGAUACUGGCAAGCUUGAGUCUCGUAGAGGGGGGUAGAAUUCCAGGUGUAGCGGUGAAAUGCGUAGAGAUCUGGAGGAAUACCGGUGGCGAAGGCGGCCCCCUGGACGAAGACUGACGCUCAGGUGCGAAAGCGUGGGGAGCAAACAGG
RNAcentral lists this ribosomal RNA (429 nucleotides) under Chloroflexota bacterium. RNAcentral describes it as "Chloroflexi bacterium partial 16S ribosomal RNA". It matches the Rfam family "Bacterial small subunit ribosomal RNA", at positions 355 to 776 of the family's 1533-position model. The record is from RNAcentral. Lineage: Bacteria; Bacillati; Chloroflexota.